UCGACCGAGUCCCCGGAACAG
This 21-nucleotide ribosomal RNA is filed under the name Catena viridis. RNAcentral describes it as "partial 28S ribosomal RNA". Lineage: Eukaryota; Viridiplantae; Chlorophyta; Trebouxiophyceae; Chlorellales; Chlorellaceae. The record is from RNAcentral.